AGCAGCUCAUUGGGCUUAAAGCGUGCGCAGGCGGUUUUGUAAGACAGAGGUGAAAUCCCCGGGCUCAACCUGGGAACUGCCUUUGUGACUGCAAGGCUGGAGUGCGGCAGAGGGGGAUGGAAUUCCGCGUGUAGCAGUGAAAUGCGUAGAUAUGCGGAGGAACACCGAUGGCGAAGGCAAUCCCCUGGGCCUGCACUGACGCUCAUGCACGAAAGCGUGGGGAGCAAACA
This 230-nucleotide ribosomal RNA is filed under the name uncultured Alicycliphilus sp. RNAcentral describes it as "partial 16S ribosomal RNA". It matches the Rfam family "Bacterial small subunit ribosomal RNA", at positions 551 to 774 of the family's 1533-position model. Lineage: Bacteria; Pseudomonadati; Pseudomonadota; Betaproteobacteria; Burkholderiales; Comamonadaceae. The record is from RNAcentral.